Molecule: ribosomal RNA, 492 nt
Filed under: uncultured bacterium
Lineage: Bacteria
Description: partial 16S ribosomal RNA
Rfam family: Bacterial small subunit ribosomal RNA
Source: RNAcentral
AGUGAACGCUGGCGGUAGGCCUAACACAUGCAAGUCGAACGGCAGCGCAGUAAGAGCUUGCUCUUACGGGUGGCGAGUGGCGGACGGGUGAGGAAUACAUCGGAAUCUACUUUUUCGUGGGGGAUAACGUAGGGAAACUUACGCUAAUACCGCAUACGACCUACGGGUGAAAGCAGGGGAUCUUCGGACCUUGCGCGAUUGAAUGAGCCGAUGUCGGAUUAGCUAGUUGGCGGGGUAAAGGCCCACCAAGGCGACGAUCCGUAGCUGGUCUGAGAGGAUGAUCAGCCACACUGGAACUGAGACACGGUCCAGACUCCUACGGGAGGCAGCAGUGGGGAAUAUCGGACAAUGGGCGCAAGCCUGAUCCAGCCAUACCGCGUGGGUGAAGAAGGCCUUCGGGUUGUAAAGCCCUUUUGUUGGGAAAGAAAAGCAGCAGGUUAAUACCCCGCUGUUCUGACGGUACCCAAAGAAUAAGCACCGGCUAACUUCGUG